RNAcentral lists this unclassified non-coding RNA (253 nucleotides) under uncultured Enterobacteriaceae bacterium. RNAcentral describes it as "contains 16S-23S intergenic spacer region". It matches the Rfam family "Bacterial small subunit ribosomal RNA", at positions 524 to 776 of the family's 1533-position model. Lineage: Bacteria; Pseudomonadati; Pseudomonadota; Gammaproteobacteria; Enterobacterales; Enterobacteriaceae. The record is from RNAcentral.
GACGGAGGGGGCAAUCGUUGAUCGGAUUUAUUGGGCGUAAAGCGCACGCAGGCGGUCUGUCAAGUCGGAUGUGAAAUCCCCGGGCUCAACCUGGGAACUGCAUCCGAAACUGGCAGGCUAGAGUCUUGUAGAGGGGGGUAGAAUUCCAGGUGUAGCGGUGAAAUGCGUAGGGAUCGGGAGGAAUACCGGUGGCGAAGGCGGCCCUCUGGACAAAGACUGACGCUCAGGUGCGAAAGCGUGGGGAGCAAACAGG